RNAcentral lists this ribosomal RNA (385 nucleotides) under uncultured bacterium. RNAcentral describes it as "bacterial SSU rRNA". It matches the Rfam family "Bacterial small subunit ribosomal RNA", at positions 28 to 414 of the family's 1533-position model. The record is from RNAcentral.
GACGAACGCUGGCGGCGUGCUUAACACAUGCAAGUCGAGCGGUAAGGCCCUUUCGGGGGUACACGAGCGGCGAACGGGUGAGUAACACGUGGGUGACCUGCCCUCAGCUCUGGGAUAAGCCUGGGAAACUGGGUCUAAUACUGGAUAUGACUCCACGGUGCAUGUCGUGGGGUGGAAAGCCUUGUGCGGCUGAGGAUGGGCCCGCGGCCUAUCAGCUUGUUGGGGGGUGAUGGCCUACCAAGGCGACGACGGGUAGCCGGCCUGAGAGGGCGACCGGCCACACUGGGACUGAGACACGGGCCCAGACUCCUACGGGAGGCAGCAGUGGGGAAUCUUGCGCAAUGGGCGAAAGCCUGACGCAGCGACGCCGCGUGAGGGAUGACGG